GCGCCCGUAGCUCAACUGGACAGAGCGACUGACUACGAAUCAGUAGGCCGGAGGUUCGAAUCCUCUCGGGCGCUCUA
This 77-nucleotide transfer RNA is filed under the name bacterium. RNAcentral describes it as "tRNA-Arg". It matches the Rfam family "tRNA". From Rfam's summary of the family: Transfer RNA (tRNA) molecules are approximately 80 nucleotides in length. Their secondary structure includes four short double-helical elements and three loops (D, anti-codon, and T loops). The record is from RNAcentral.